ACCCCAGGCGAACGCCGCGCGUGGGCCGCGCCACCGCGUGCGGGCAGGCGAGCGCCGCGCCGCCGCCUCGGCUCUCCCCUGCUCGAGCGACGGGCAGGCGAGCGCCAGGAAGGGCCUGCGUGCGGCCGGGGCAGCUGCCAGGCAGGGUCUCGAUUUGGUCUGGUGAACUGCUGGGAGCUCGUUUUGGUGGUGCACGAGAGAAAUUGAAUCCGCUCAAGGCGUCCCCAGCAGGAGAAAGAUUUGUCUGAAUUUGGUUGCAUAUGUGAUGCGGCUUCUCCCUCGCGGGGCGCGGCGGCCCGGCCGGCCUCCUCCGCGCGGGGCCACAAUGUCGGCAGCCCCUCCCUUCUCCCUCCCUCCCUCCGGCCGGGUGCUCGCCCUCCUCCUCCAUGGCAGACCUCAAGCUCGGCGGUGGCUCUGCUCGAUGGUGGUUCUGCCCGGCGGCGGCCUUCAGCUCGCUCGGCGCCGCCCCUUCCCCUGCUCCCUCCCUUGCCGGCCUCCUCCGUCUGCGCAGCGGCAUCUACACCGGAAAUUUGCAGGCGAGCAACUCCCGGCCGGCGAGGGUCUCUGCGGCGGCGAGCGGCUCCACCCAGCCGUUGGUGAUUUUUUUUCUUUUUUUUCUUAUUUUUAUGAAAUAGAGAUGGGUGUUGAUUGUAUUAUCCUGUGAUCGAUUCUUUGAAUGAUAAAUCUAUAUAUGGAUUUUGUAUAUGUCGAUCCAAUAUUUUGUGGUUGAUC
Long non-coding RNA from Panicum virgatum (switchgrass), 732 nucleotides. RefSeq lists it as uncharacterized. Lineage: Eukaryota; Viridiplantae; Streptophyta; Magnoliopsida; Poales; Poaceae. The record is from RefSeq and is a predicted model, not a curated record. The transcript has 2 exons.